GGUUAUUGCGAAGUGCCGUGGCUGCCGGCGGGCGCUGCGGGACUCUCUGCAAUGGGACCCGAGCAGCUCUAGAGGGAGGCGGCGGCCCCAGAAGGCCGUUGGCUGAGAGAGACCAGGAGCCCUCGGAGCCGCCGCGCGCAUAGCGCUGUGGAGCAAGAAGCCAACCGCAGCGCGGGUCGACACGCCAGUAUCUGGCACCGGCAGGAGGCGCGGAACUUAGCUGCCCCAUCGGAACCCCGCCCGGAGGAAGCUGAGGGCCGAGAAAGGAUGAAUUCCGGACCGGGUCGCCCAGCCACAAGUGGAAACCUGGGCUCUCUGGAAAACGUUCUGAUCUCGAUCUGGCUAUCUCUGAAACAAAACUCCAGCCCCGCAAACCUCCCAAAGUUCAGUACACGUCCCCGUCCUCACCCCUGCCCUCCGGGCCACCUGCAGCGGGGGACUUACCGGCGCCUCGGGUCUCCUCCUCCCGACCCAGCGCGUCGCGGACACAGCUGGCGGCCAACAGGAGGCUUGGGCGCUCGACGGCGCCGGAACCUGUGAGACCGUCGCUCUGGGCGGGCUGCCGUGCGGGGUGGCAUCCUCUGCGGUGACUUCUGCUGUCUUUUGGGUCCGCCAGGAUUCCAAAAUCCCAGGCGGGUCGCUAGAAUUAUCCAUCUUCGUGGACAGGAAGCCCCAGAACGAACCACAUCUGUCCCACUCUGCUUCCGCCCUCCUUCCCCUUCGCAAGCUCCUGGCUGGGAUGGAGACAUCGGACGAGCUCGGAGAUCCCGACCUCUCAGGGGUCACUCGCAGCCGAACAGCCUGGAAUAUGGCCUUGUGGGCCCUUCCCGCCCAACCCCCUAGGACCCCACUGCUCAUCUUGUCAACCAGUUUCUGAGCCCCUACCCUGGCUGCAGCACGUGCUCGCACAGGCGCGCUGAGCUACUAACAUAGAAUCAAAAGCAGGGAGUUGGGUGUUCUUGCUUUCCCGCUGAAACCUAGAAUGUAAACAAGCCCUAGACCGUCAGCUGUGGGUGGGUAGGGGCCUCUCCCUGCCUAGAACUGCUCUUGCCAUGGGUAGGCACCUAACCCGUAUUAGUAAGAAUGAAGGAAUGCAUGCUCAUAACAAGAAAGGGGUCAACCUGCUGCCCUGAUACUCACCUUCACCACUUACGUCUUGCUUCCAGCGCAAGCCCACUUCAGACCAUUGCCUCAUUCAGGUCCCAGAAGUCCUAAGGGUUUUAGUCUCUCAGUAUGGGCAAUUAUUCACAUGUAAGGGAGCUGCAAGGUGUUAUUUCAAUGCCAUCUGGCCUCUAUAAGGUCUUGCAUCAUAGCUGACCUCUCAUGAGAAGGUUCUGAUGAGGUCACCAGGGAGAAGGAAUGUAAAGGGCUGGUGGCUGAAAAGGAGUGAAAUGGCCCCUCUUAGGUGAGCUCUGGCCUGGUUUGAGUUUCAAUUCUGUCUCCUCAGCUCCAUUUCUCAAUGGGAAAAGGUCCAUAGGAAGGUUGUCAGAAGGGCAGGAGACUAGGGCAGGGAUAGCCCUUUGCAGACCCUGAAAAAUUGCUCAGUAAUGCAAACAUUGUCCAUAUUUAAGUUCUUUCUUUUCUUUUCUUUUUUUUUUGAGGCAGAGUCUCACUCUGUCGCCCAGGCUGGAGUGCUAUGGCUUGGCUCACUGCAAGCUCCGCCUCCUGGGUUCACGCCAUUCUCCUGCCUCAGCCUCCCAAGUAGCUGGGACUACAGGCGCCCGCCACUACGCCCGGCUAAUUUUUCGUAUUUUCAGUAGAGACGGGGUUUCACCGUGUUAAUCAGGAUGGUCUCGAUCUCCUGACCUUGUGAUCCGCCCGCCUCGGCCUCCCAAAGUGCUGGGAUUAGAGGCGUGAGCCACUGCGCCCAGCCUUAAGUUCUUUAUUUUCUAUCUUGUGGACCAAAGGACUGCUACAGGCAAGGAAGACCAUCUGACUCAAUUCCAGAGGUUCCUUAGCAUGCUGCUGACUGGCCUAGGAGAAUGGCCUUUGCCCAUAAAGUAUUAGAUGUAGACCACAUGAAUGGAAUAUUCACCAGGUUUCUGCCCAGGUCUGGAUUGGGCAAGGACAUGGCUGGAGGUGCCUUACAGGAGAGAAGGCCAAAGAGAGAGAAGACUUGACUCCCAACCUGAUUCCAGCAGAACUCCACUUUGAUGUGUUUUUAAAAUUGUGCUCUUCUGUUUGCUUUCACGGAGGCUGCCAUGAAACGUCAUCUUUGACUAGAAUUAUCAGGAAAUGCUCAUGGAAGAAAUAUACUUCCUUGGAUUUUUUUUCCUACCACACUUCAGGAUAUAACUAGAGAAAACAUUUGCCAACAGUGCUUAUCAUAUUAGUACCCUGUGAAGGUUUUCAUAGAUGCUGAUUAUUAUUUUUAAAAUCAUUUCGGGAAUAGGAGCCAAACACUAGGUCAUGACUGUACUUACUUUAGUAUUUACAUUAAGUGAUGAAAAAUGGAAAUAAAGGAAAUGUCCUGUCAUGAAACAAGUUAGAAUUAGGUGACUUUCAUGUCCUGAUUUCCAAGGUUUUCUGUUUGUUUCAGACAGACAAGAUCAUCCAUGGGUUCUUGGACAAGUAAUAGGUCUCAUUUUCCCUUGUAGACCAGAAGACAUGGAAAAGACAGCAUAUUCGGACUAUAUUCAUAUUUCCAUACCAUCUUUUGUUGUAAUUGAUUUUCAACAAGAGCCCCUAACAAUCUCUUGAGUUUGGGCCAUCCCCAUAUUCUACAAGGGAAAAUGAGAUCUCUUACUACUCCAAUAACCCAUGCUUACACUAUCUGUAUGGAACAAACAGAGAACCAUCAAAAUCUGAACGCAGAAGUCACUUAUUUAGUCCCAAUCUAUUUUGUGAAAGAAAAUUUCUUUUACUCAAAGAGAUGAAGAAAUUUACGGAAUGGCUUGGGAAUGAGAAGAUUCAGGUGGGACCAUGGAAGCAAAGCUUGUUCUUUUGUGGAUGGAAGUUUGAAAGAAAGAAAAAUAUGCCAAGAUGAUUAAGUUUCACCUAAGAUUUUAAAGCUCCCACCUAAAAGAUGUGGAAAACAAGCACUAUACCAGGAUAUUGUACCUUAUUUCUGCCCUGUCUUAAAAACACCAUGACAUUUUCCUUGAUUUCAAGAAUACAGAAAAUGAACAUGGUCCUUUAAAUUAUGUGACUCUUUCGAAGCAAAAUGACAACAAGGAAAAACCACAUUUGUUUUCUGCCUCCCUUUUUCAAGAAGCUGAAAAUAUAGUGUAAAUGAACUCUUGGUCGUGGGUCAACAUCCUUACAAUACCUGCCCCUCGUUCUCAGGUUAGAGAUUUCUCCUCUGCCUUUUCAUUCUCACCCACACCCAACUUGAAAUAGGUCUCCAGGUCCCAUUUUGAUCACAUAUUCUUUCAGUCACAUGCGGAACAUGAGAAGGGGUUAAAUGUAGCUCUGCAAGACCAGCAAAACUCAUCACUAAACUGGAAAACAACUUCAGGCUUACUAUCAACAGGGGGUAGUUAGCAUCAGUUUAAAGACUGUGAAUGUGCACAAAUGUUUUCUAAGAAUAUUUUUCAGAAGAGUGUAAUUAUAGGUAUAAUCUCUAAUUGCAUUAUAAAUGAUAAAUAAGAGACGGUUAGCAAACUAUAUUUCAGGGCUGUUUGCUGUACUUAUCUGCUGCCAUCACUGGCCCUGUCUUCCUUUGUGACUGCAGACUGUGUUGUUUAUUAGUCUUGGUGGUAAGGGGGAAUUGCUGUACAGUACUUUUGUGUUAGGACAGGAUCUUACAGAUGAUAAUGAAGGUUGCAGGAAGGACUGUUGAAACGUUUUAUUUUGGUAUUUGUUUCAUUUUUAAAGGCUGUGACUAGGACUUCAUACCUGUCUAAUAAGCAUGCAUGUAACAUUUUUAUAUUUGCUGAGUGCUUCAUAGUCCUCCAUUAGUCCCCACAAUACCCCUUGAGGGUAGGUCAGUAUUACAGUUUACAAUAUGAGGAAAUUUAAGAUACAAAGGGAUUAUGUGAUUUGUACAAGGUCACCCAGCAUGCAAGCCUAGCUAAUAAAAUAUGACUACAAAGCUCUUUCCAAAUAAAAAGUACCUUAUAAAUGUUAGGUAGUAUUAAUGGGUAUGAUCCCAGAAUGAGUAAAAUACUCUUCAGGAGUAAAGUGCUCAUACAUGGUAUAUAAUAUUAAUUCUCUCUCUUUUUUUUUUUUUUUUUUUAACCUGUGGGUGACUUUUGAAAUAGUUAUUCUUGAACCUGGCUAUGCAUCAGAAAUGUCUCUAGAGUUUUUAGAACAUGUGAGCACAUAGACCCCUACUCAGCCGACAGAAUCAUAAUCUGGGCAGUGGGAUUUAGAUAAUUAUGCCUUGAAAAAUCUCCAUGGGGGAUUUGGAUGCUCAGUCAGAGCUGAGAACCACUACUCUAGGCUAGAAGAGUAACAUCGGUCAGGCCAAGAGCAACAACAAAACACUGUGGAGUUAAUUCAGAAGAGAAAGUCUGGUGUCUUCCAGGCCUCUGUCCAGCCAGUUCACAACUAUUAUUAGCAGAGGAACUGCCUCCCUGAAAUAAUCAACUGUAAUAACCAUGUGUGAAAUUCCCGGAAAUAGUGCAGAGAUUAAAGUUUAUUUAAGAACCGUCAGUUUUUGAAAGUUAUAAUUUACUGGGUAAAUUUACUGGCACACCCUUGGUUUAUUACUGUGCUUAGUGUUUUUAUUCUGAAUACUUUGUACUUCUUCAUAAUCAACAUGGUAAGAACCUAUAAUAUCUGCCCAUUCAUCCAUCUGCCAAACACUUAUUGAAUACUUGCUGUAUGGAAAUUUCAGAGUGAAAAUAAUGAUCUUUUUCCAGAAGUUUAUAAUCAAGUGAUAAAAACAGACACAGGCAAAACCAACCAACCAAACAAAAACCUGAAGCCACACAUAUGAUAAUAAAAAGUAUAAUCAAAGUGUUAGAUGAGGCAUUAUUCAUAAUUGCUAAAAAGUGGAAACAGCUCAAAUAUCCAUCAACUGAUAAAUGGAUAAAUGUGGUAUACCCACACAAUGAAGUAUUAUUAUUAUUCAAACAAUGAAGUGGAAUGUAUACUGAUAAUGCUACAAUAUGGAUGGAUCUUAAAAACACUAUGCUAAGUGAGAGAAGCCAGUCACAAACGUGGUAUUCCCAUACAAUGAACUAUUAUUAUUAUUAUUAUUAAACAAUGAAGUGGAAUGUAGUACUGAUACAUGCUACAACAUGGAUGGAUCUUAAAAACGCUAUGUUAAGUGAGAGACACCAGUCACAAAGGACCACAUAUCGUAUGAUUCCAUUUAUAUGAAAUGUCUUGAAUAGGCAAAUCUGUAGAGACAGAAAACAGAUGGUUGCCUAGGGCUGGGGAUGGGGAAGGAUGGAGGAAAUGGGUGACUGCUAGUGGGUACAGGGUUUCUUUUUGGAGUGACGAAAUGUCCUAAAAUUGAUUGUGGUGACAGCUGCACAACUUCGUUGACUAUACUAAAAACCGUUCAAUUGUACGCUUUAAAUGGGUGAAUUGUAUGAUAUGCAAAUUGUAUCUCUAAUAAAGACAAUGGAAGAUAGAUAGAUAGAUAGAUAGAUAGAUAGAUAGAUAGAUAGAGCUGUAUGAACUUGGAGGAAAGAGAGAUUAAUUAAUUUGGAUUGGAAGAAAGUCGUGGGAAAUUUCCUGGAGGAAAUGAUAUUUGAGCUGACUCAAAAAGGAUGAUUUUUGUAAGAUGGUGUGGAUGAAAGGAGGGAAGGUAUGCUCAAAGAGACACUCAAAGUGAGGGUGCUUUCAUGCAAGGGCAAGUUAUCUGGAAUAGACAAGAGUUUAAGAUGCAUGAAGGAUACAGUAGAUGGAGGCUAGAUGCAGGGCUUUUACUGUCAUGCUAAGUUCUGUGGUUUGGUUUUCAUUUUUGUAGGCAAUGGAAAGCCACGAUAGGUCUGUGAGUGGAUGAUCAGACCUGUGAUUUGGAAGGAUAAUUAGAAGUGGUGAUGAGGUAGAUAGAAGAUGGCAUAGGAGAGCAGUGAGUAAGGGAGGCCAUUUAGGAGGCAAAGGCAUUGCAAUGUGUAGGUGAGAGAUGAAGAAGCCUUCGACUACUGCAAAAGCCGUGAGGACUGAAACAAGGAGACAGAUUUUUUUUUUUUAGUAGAGUCAGGGCACUAUGUUGCCCAGGGUGGUCUUGAACUCCUGGGCUCAAGCAAUCCUCCCACCUCAAUCCUCCCACCUCAAAGCAAUCCUCCCGCCUCCCAAAGUGUUAGGAUUACAGGUGUGAGCCACUGCGCCCGACCAAGGAGGCAGAUUUAAGAAAUGGUUAAGAAGUAGAAUCAUUAAACUCACGUACCCCCUGAUGGCCCUGGGGGAGUAGGUGGAAAAGCAUACAAAUUGGACAGCACACUAUCUGAAACCACGUAAGGGCAUGGGUCCUUUUUUGACAAAUUAUUUUGAAUGAAAAAACUUUUGUUGAAAUAAUGUCCAGCAAGCAAAUUGUAGCUCUUUACAUCUGUUAACAAGGGUUUGAUUACAGACAUUCUUCAAUUUUUUAACAAAGGAAUGUAUAUUGUGAAUCAAAGGUGGAUUGAAGACAGAAAUGCAAUCCAAUCAUUCUGUGAGCACUUUCCAAUCAGACCUCCCCUUGUUGAAGAUGAAGCAGUCGUCAUUUAUGGACUAUUCCGAAUGACUAAGUAUUUACCUCUUGCUCAGAUAGCUUCCCUAGAAACACUUCCUUUGGUGUGAGCAACUUGGAUUUACUGCCAGGGCAACACCUCCCAUCCAACGCCCACACUGCCUCUUGGCUGGGUCCUCACCAGCAGGUGUUCAUAAGCAGUAUUUUGUUUUGCUUCUAUUAAGAGUGUAGGCUUUGAAAAGCAUCGUCUGAACGUAUCACCCAUUAUACUUUCACUUACAAGUGUUCUUAUGGGGAGAUCUGAAACCUUGGCGUCUCAAGGAUCAGGAAGACAAAGACUGCCUUUUCUCAUGCAAGGCCACACCUAUGUUUUCCAUUAGAAGGAGGGGCAGGCAAAUCCUGGGCAAGGUCAAAAUAUAAAGUCUCUCCCAGUGCAUGGCGGUGCACUCCCUGGGGAUCUGUUAAAACCUCUUUUGUGUGUUUUGGAAGGUGUUACGGUGAAACUGCCUGCUGCUAGCUGAGUUUGAGAACAGUGACCCUGACAAGUGCCUUACAGGAGUUUAUCAAGUGGAGAACACCAUUUAGAACACCACUCACUGAGAUGCAGCUCUUAUCUGUGCCUGUCAGUGAACAAUGUUCAAUCGCAGAUCACAGUUGUUAGCAGAGCUAAUUACAGCAGUCUCAGGUGAGAAGAAUCCCAGCAACUGCCUCUAAGGGACUUCCAUCACAGGGGCUUCGCAGCCCACGUCUUGAGGGCCUCCUCCCAAGUCCUGAAGGUGAAUCCUGCCUGUGGGAUACCUGGUUUGCUGGGGACGUUGGCCCUGAAUGAGAAUUUCUAAUGUCAAAUUGGGACUUAAGAAGAUAUCUCUAGAACAGAACCAAAAAGAAUCUGUAACAACGUGCCCUAAACAUGUCUUAGGCUGGGUCUGUAACUACAUUCUUGUUCCUGCUGAAAAUCGCAGCAUCCUUCUA
Molecule: long non-coding RNA, 7540 nt
Filed under: Homo sapiens (human)
Lineage: Eukaryota; Metazoa; Chordata; Mammalia; Primates; Hominidae
Description: non-protein coding lnc-LMNB1-3:6
Source: RNAcentral